UGUUAUUGUGUGCCUUGUGCCGUUUAGCGAUAGAAUUAUCGGCAAUUUUAGUUUAAAAGAAGACUGGUUUCUUUGUGUAGCUAGCAACAUUUAUGGAUAACUAGCGUUGCAACGAUAUUGGUGGCAGCUUUCCAAGGAUUCCCCUUAGCACCCUUGAUCAGCGGAGCGAGUUUUCACGGCGUUCGACGAUGUUGGUGCCUAUGCACAAUUCUUCAAUAAACUACACCCGUUCGGAAACA
Long non-coding RNA from Syngnathus acus (greater pipefish), 239 nucleotides. RefSeq lists it as uncharacterized. NCBI's taxonomy places the organism in Eukaryota, Metazoa, Chordata, Actinopteri, Syngnathiformes, Syngnathidae. The record is from RefSeq and is a predicted model, not a curated record. The transcript has 2 exons.